AUAUGUCAUGAUUAAGCAUACAUUUAACCCACGUUCAUCGUAGAAGUUAAAAUAAAGAAUUAGGAGAAUGCAAAGCUUAGGGCUAACUUCAUCUGGCCUCGGAGUGUAGUGGUGCCCAGUAUCUAUAAAUAAGAUAUCUUAGGCUCAUCUCACAUAUACCUGGGAUUUGGAAUCUAACUAUUAGGACAGAACGUGGACUGAAGGCUCAAACUUUUGCCGUUUUCUGAAACUAACAUUUUAUAUUUAAAAAAUCAUUGGACAGGACUGAAGGCUCAAACUUUUGCCGUUUUCUGAAACUAACAUUUUAUAUUUAAAAAAUCAUAGGAAAAGGCGGCAAAUUAGUUAUUUCUUGUAAUAUGAAAGUCAAAUCAUAAAAAGCAUGAUGUAGAAUAAGUUGGAACAAAAAAGAAAAAGAAAAAGAAAAGGAACAAGUUGGAAAAGCAGAGAAACUAGUACAAGAGAAAUAACUUUUGGGCUUAAAUUCCCAUAUUUAACUGGGGUGGGAUCAAUUUGAAGAGCUUAGUAAGGUUUAAGCUUGGCUUAUUUGAUGAAGUUCAACCAUGUUUGUACUUAUCUAAGGAUCCACCCUCUAAGGGAAAGGCAAAAGUGAUUUUUUUAAUUUUGUUGCGUGCUUAUAGUCAUUAUUGUAUCUGUCCCUCACGUUCUCUUUGAUGAAUCUUCAAUGCAG
RNAcentral lists this long non-coding RNA (688 nucleotides) under Nicotiana benthamiana. Its description in RNAcentral is "long non-coding RNA (NBEN_LNC017535)". Lineage: Eukaryota; Viridiplantae; Streptophyta; Magnoliopsida; Solanales; Solanaceae. The record is from RNAcentral.